Molecule: ribosomal RNA, 1943 nt
Filed under: human oral metagenome
Description: bacterial LSU rRNA
Rfam family: Bacterial large subunit ribosomal RNA
Source: RNAcentral
CGGGGGGACCACCCCCUAAGGCUAAAUACUACUUAGUGACCGAUAGUGCAUAGUACUGUGAAGGAAAGGUGAAAAGGACCCCGGGAGGGGAGUGAAAAAGAACCUGAAACCCUAUGUUUACAUGCAGUGGAAGUGCGAUACAUGAACGCACAACCGCGUACUUUUUGUAGAACGGUCCGGCGAGUUGCCGGUGCUGGCAAGGUUAAGGACUACAGGUCCGGAGCCGAAGGGAAACCGAGUCUUAAUAGGGCUUACAGUCAGCAUCGGCAGACCCGAAACCGGGUGAUCUAUCCAUGUCCAGGUUGAAGUUCCCGUAAAAGGGAAUGGAGGACCGAACACACAUCCGUUGAAAAGGGUGGUGAUGAGGUGUGGAUAGGGGAGAAAUUCCAAUCGAACCCGGAGAUAGCUGGUUCUCCUCGAAAUAGCUUUAGGGCUAGCCUCGACUUAGUCAGACGGAGGUAGAGCACUGAAUUCCUGAGGGGGCGUCAAAGCCUACCAAGGGAUAUCAAACUGCGAAUGCCGCACUGAUGAUGGUCGGGAGUCAGACUGUACGAGAUAAGUUGGACAGUCAAAAGGGAAAGAGCCCAGACCUACAGCUAAGGUCCCAAAAUACGUGUUAAGUGGAAAAGGAUGUGGGAUUUCGAAGACAGCUAGGAUGUUGGCUUAGAAGCAGCCACACAUUCAAAGAGUGCGUAAUAGCUCACUAGUCGAGAGGUCCUGCGCCGAAAAUUUCCGGGGCUAAAACACGAUACCGAAGCUUAGGAAUGUAGCAAUACAUUGGUAGAGGAGCAAUCUCAGAGUGCCGAAGCGUUACCGUAAGGAAGCGUGGAGUUCUGAGAAGAGAGAAUGCCGGAAUGAGUAGCGAGAAUGAUGUGAGAAUCAUCAUGGCCGAAUAUCCAAGGAUUCCAGGGUAAAGCUGAUCUGCCCUGGGUAAGUCGGGACCUAAGGCGAGGGAGAGAUCCGUAGUCGAUGGACAGCAGGUUCAUAUUCCUGCACCUGACAUGAUCAGAACUGUGGGGACACAGGAACGAAACCGGACCCGGGAGAGCAAAGACCGGGCGAAGCGAAGCUAGGAGUGCGGUAGGCAAAUCCGCCGCACAAUCCGAAAGCGUGAUAGGGAGCGAAAUAUAAGUAGCGAAGCCGGUGGAGGGACUGUCGAGAAAAGCCGCUAUUGUAUCAUGUCAGCCCGUACCGCAAACCGACACAGGUGGAUGAGGAGAGAAUCCUAAGGCCGGCGGGAGAAGCAUUGUUAAGGAACUCGGCAAAAUGACCCCGUAACUUCGGGAGAAGGGGUGCUGCAGAGAUGCAGCCGCAGAGAAAAGGCUCAAGCAACUGUUUAGCAAAAACACAGGUCUAUGCGAAACCGUAAGGUGAGGUAUAUGGGCUGACGCCUGCCCGGUGCUGGAAGGUUAAGAGGAGAGGUUAGCGCAAGCGAAGCUUUGAAUUUAAGCCCCAGUAAACGGCGGCCGUAACUAUAACGGUCCUAAGGUAGCGAAAUUCCUUGUCGGGUAAGUUCCGACCCGCACGAAAGGCGUAAUAUUCGGUGUUACUCGUACAGGAUAGGUGGGAGGCUAAGAAGGAAGGACGCCAGUCUUUCCGGAGCCGCUGUUGGGAUACCACCCCUGUGGCACUGGAUUUCUAACCUACAUCCGUGAUCCGGAUGGGGGACAAUGUCAGGUGGGGAGUUUGACUGGGGCGGUCGCCUCCGAAAGAGUAUCGGAGGCGCUCAAAGGUUCCCUCAGAAUGGUUGGAAACCAUUCGAAGAGCGCAAAGGCAGAAGGGAGCUUGACUGCGACACCGACGGGUGGAGCAGGUACGAAAGUAGGACUUAGUGAUCCGGUGGUAUAAAGUGGGAUUGCCAUCGCUCAACGGAUAAAAGCUACCCUGGGGAUAACAGGCUUAUCACUCCCAAGAGUUCACAUCGACGGAGUGGUUUGGCACCU